Molecule: long non-coding RNA, 573 nt
Organism: Drosophila innubila
Lineage: Eukaryota; Metazoa; Arthropoda; Insecta; Diptera; Drosophilidae
Exons: 2
Source: RefSeq, a predicted model, not a curated record
GUUACAAUUGAGAUGACAAAGUCGAUAGUCCAACAUAAAAUGUUUUGGAGUCUGUUAUUAAAGGGAUUUCUAUUCUUAAUGAUGCAGAUAGCAAUUGCCUAUCCAAAACAUGAACAUCACAGUUCUCACACAGUAUCAGGAGGUGGAGGCCAUUACUAUUAUGGAUUUGGAGGUUAAGCACAACCAGUUCCUUUACUGAAUAAAAGUGGUGUUUAUAGAUAUUAAUUCCAUUAAUAACUGAAAAUUGUCUAUCCGGAGUGUUCUAGAAAUGUAAACGAACAAAAAAUCAACCAAAAGUUUAUGGGUUUUUAGUUGGUUUAUAUUUUCGAAACAUACUGGUAUAAGACAAUAAUAAAUUUGAAAAAAAAAACAGAAAUUAUUCAUUUAUAUCAAGUAUGAAAAUAUCAUUGGCAAGUGUAUAUGGAACUGUAUGUGUAUAUUAAAAUGAAGUUAACAACAAAUGCAAAAUUUUGUGCUGUUCAGAAUUUAUGCCAUGACAUUUUCAGUGCCUUAUCAUUUGCCCGUGGAGAACCCGCAUUUGUCCGCGACUUAAAUAUAUAGUUUACAUUUGAA